CAGCAGCCACGGUAAUACGAAGGGGGCUAGCGUUGCUCGGAAUGACUGGGCGUAAAGGGCGCGUAGGCGGCGAUCAAAGUCAGGCGUGAAAUUCCUGGGCUCAACCUGGGGGCUGCGCUUGAUACUUGGUUGCUUGAGUGGGGAAGAGGGUCGUGGAAUUCCCAGUGUAGAGGUGAAAUUCGUAGAUAUUGGGAAGAACACCGGUGGCGAAGGCGGCGACCUGGUCCUUGACUGACGCUGAGGCGCGAAAGCGUGGGGAGCAAACAGGAUUAGAUACCCGAGUAGUCCCUGUCUCUUAUAA
RNAcentral lists this ribosomal RNA (301 nucleotides) under uncultured bacterium. RNAcentral's name for it is "partial 16S ribosomal RNA". It matches the Rfam family "Bacterial small subunit ribosomal RNA", at positions 509 to 809 of the family's 1533-position model. The record is from RNAcentral.